GAUGAACGCUGGCGGCGUGCCUAAUACAUGCAAGUCGAGCGAACAGACGAGUAGCUUGCUCCUCUGACGUUAGCGGCGGACGGGUGAGUAACACGUGGAUAACCUACCUAUAAGACUGGGAUAACUUCGGGAAACCGGAGCUACUACCGGAUAAUAUAUUGAACCGCAUGGUUCAAUAGUGAAAGACGGUUUUGCUGUCACUUAUAGAUGGAUCCGCGCCGCAUUAGCUAGUUGGUAAGGUAACGGCUUACCAAGGCAACGAUGCGUAGCCGACCUGAGAGGGGGAUCGGCCACACUGGAACGGAGACACGGUCCAGAAUCCUACGGGAGGAAGCAGUAGGGAAUCUUCCGCAAUGGGCGAAAGCCUGACGGAGCAACGCCGCGUGAGUGAUGAAGGUCUUCGGAUCGUAAAACUCUGUUAUUAGGGAAGAACAAAUGUGUAAGUAACUAUGCACGGCUUGACGGUACCUAAUCAGAAAGCCACGGCUAACUACGUG
This 497-nucleotide ribosomal RNA is filed under the name uncultured bacterium. Its description in RNAcentral is "partial 16S ribosomal RNA". It matches the Rfam family "Bacterial small subunit ribosomal RNA", at positions 28 to 507 of the family's 1533-position model. The record is from RNAcentral.